ACUCCUACGGGAGGCAGCAGUAAGGAAUAUUGGACAAUGGCCGCAAGCCUGAUGGAGCGACGCCGCGUGGGGGAUGAAUGGCUUCGGCCCGUAAACCCCUGUCAUUUGCGAACAAACCUUAUUCAUGAAUAAUGAAUGAGCUGAUUGUAGCGGAAGAGGAAGGGACGGCUAACUCUGUGCCAGCAGCCGCGGUAAUACAGAGGUCCCGAGCGUUGUUCGGAUUCACUGGGCGUAAAGGGUGCGUAGGUGGUGAGGAAAGUCGGAUGUGAAAUCUCCGGGCUUAACCCGGAAACUGCAUUGGAAACUACCUUGCUAGAGGUUUUGAGGGGGGACUGGAAUUCUCGGUGUAGCAGUGAAAUGCGUAGAUAUCGAGAGGAACACCAGUGGCGAAGGCGAGUCCCUGGAAAACACCUGACACUGAGGCACGAAAGCUAGGGGAGCAAACAGGAUUAGAUACCCUGGUAGUCCUAGCCCUAAACGGUGCUUGCUUGCUGUAAGAGGAAUCGACCCCUCUUGUGGCGGAGCUAACGCGUUAAGCAAGCCGCCUGGGAAGUACGGUCGCAAGAUUAAAACUUAAAGGAAUUGACGG
RNAcentral lists this ribosomal RNA (589 nucleotides) under uncultured Verrucomicrobiota bacterium. Its description in RNAcentral is "bacterial SSU rRNA". It matches the Rfam family "Bacterial small subunit ribosomal RNA", at positions 335 to 916 of the family's 1533-position model. Lineage: Bacteria; Pseudomonadati; Verrucomicrobiota. The record is from RNAcentral.